Molecule: ribosomal RNA, 439 nt
Filed under: uncultured bacterium
Lineage: Bacteria
Description: partial 16S ribosomal RNA
Rfam family: Bacterial small subunit ribosomal RNA
Source: RNAcentral
CUACGGGCUGCUGCAGUGGGGAAUAUUGCACAAUGGAGGAAACUCUGAUGCAGCAGCGCCGCGUGGAGGAUGACACCUUUCGGAGCGUAAACUCCUUUUAUAUAGGAAGAAGAUGACGGUACUAUAUGAAUAAGCGCCGGCUAACUCCGUGCCAGCAGCCGCGGUAAUACGGAGGGCGCAAGCGUUACUCGGAAUCACUGGGCGUAAAGAGCGUGUAGGCGGAUUAAAAAGUCAGAAGUGAAAUCCUAUAGCUUAACUAUAGAACUGCUUCUGAAACUCUUAAUCUAGAAUAUGGGAGAGGUAGAUGGAAUUUCUGGUGUAGGGGUAAAAUCCGUAGAGAUCAGAAGGAAUACCGAUUGCGAAGGCGAUCUACUAGAACAUUAUUGACGCUGAGACGCGAAAGCGUGGGGAGCAAACAGGAUUAGAUACCCUCGUAGUC